Molecule: long non-coding RNA, 948 nt
Filed under: Coturnix japonica (Japanese quail)
Lineage: Eukaryota; Metazoa; Chordata; Aves; Galliformes; Phasianidae
Description: lncRNA (ENSCJPG00005008831.1)
Source: RNAcentral
AUGCCUUUGAAAUGAAGCUGUGUCUUCAAUAACUGAAAAUGCUCUGCCUGCGUUACCGUAACAUGUAGCCACGGUGUUUCCUAGAUAACAGUCCCCCUUUCUGGAAUCCUGAGUGGCUCCCAUGGUACUGCUAUCAGUUUUACUUCUCCAACAUAAAUCAAGGAUUUGCUUCAGUUUUAGGUUCAAGAUCUUAAAAACAGUUAGUUGUGCAAAGUCCAGGACUGAUAUAAAAAGAUGACAUUUUUUGAAGAUGCAUGGACCGAAGCUGUAUAUUUAGUUGGUAUGCACAUUUUCAAAGUCUUGGGAGAACAUCAUUAAGGAAUCACCCCAGAUUAAAUUAGUUCUGAUGAAUUAUUUAAACAUCAACAAAUGAUGUAGUAUAUGAGUACAGGGCCCAGGGGCUGUGACAUAAUUUGUUAAGCAAAGUAACCCUUCGCUGGGUCCAGUGUGAACAUCAUUACAUAUGUAUUUGACAAUACAGUAGUCAAUCCUUCCACUUCUCCCCCUGUUAAUAAUAUUGGCAGAUUGUAGUAGUCGUUAUAUAGAAGUACUGCACAGAGGGAAAAUGUAUCUGUACAAGGCUCUGUUCCCUCCCUGUUUACUGCAGCAGUUGAGAAAGGGGAAAGAAAAAGAAAAGUCAGUUACGUUCUUUUCAGACUAUUUUCCAUCUUGAUUAAUUUCAGUGUAGAGUGAUAAGCUAAGUUUAGUGUCCUGGCUACAGUAGUUCUAGUGGAUGCUAAAGUCAGCUUAACUGUAGUGUUUGAACUGUAGUUUGAACUAGAGGAACACUUCACUUUGUUGUGAGUGCUGGAUACUGGCAUGUAGGCUGGCUGUAGCUUUGCUCUGUGGUGUGUUUUCCCCUCUAGCUUCAGAAGAAACAGCAAAACAAACUUCCCUGUAGCCUUUUGGGGAAAUAAAUUAUACAUGUGGAAAAAUGAUCGUCUGUGG